This 7633-nucleotide long non-coding RNA is filed under the name Olea europaea subsp. europaea. Lineage: Eukaryota; Viridiplantae; Streptophyta; Magnoliopsida; Lamiales; Oleaceae. The record is from RNAcentral.
UUUCAUGUGUGAUAUAUUAUCUACCUACUGAAAAUCACAGAAAAUCCCUUGUUUGAAACCUCUGCGCGAAAAAACCCAUAGCUAUCAAGAUUCAUUAGAUCUGUUGUUAAACGGUAAAGAAUGUCAAAAUUAAAAUGAAUAAUUAUAAUUUAUUUUUUAACAGAUUAAAUCCAAUUUUUUUAUGUGUCUAACCAGUCGAGAACCUCCACUGAACAUCUGAAAAGAUAAAGCUUAGGUGGAGCUGACUCAAUAGCACGUCGGCUUCCAUCUCUGUUCGUGUUUCUUGGCCAAGCAUUUGUUCAAAAUAUCUUUCGCAGCGUCGGAAAUAUUUUUGAGUAUUGGAUUACCAAAUCCAAUCCGUGGAAACAAUUCUGCAUCACUCCGAGCAGUCGAUCAAAUGCGUUUCCCUGUGAUCACUUCGACGGACUUCACAGCGGCGGUAGAAACUGAAAGAUGAGGAUCAACCUUUGCCGCUACAUGUACGGUUCCAUAGGUAAGGUACCUGCACCAAGAAUGCGAUCUUUACCCCAGAAACCCCAUUAAUUUUCUUUUCCUUGACUAGAAUUGGAACAAAGUAUAGUUAAUUUCCUCUCUCAAUUUCAAGUCUUCAACACCCUAAGUUCAAGGCAUUUCUCAAUCAGGUUGAGUUGCCUGCAAUUUCGCGAAGAGAAUUCUUCGGGUCGAGAAUAUAAGUCAAAGAAUGAUGGUCCUUUUGGGAUGAAAAUUUUCUGAAUUUGACAGUGAAUCUUCCUCAAGGGACUAGUUUGUUAAUGAGGGCAGCUUUUACUGAUAGUUACGUGCUGUCUAAAUAUGCAGAGGUUUUGUGGGAAGCUAUUACUGAAAUUUGUGAAGCACAGUGCAGCAAUGUGUAGGUCAUAAGGCUAAGUCAUUAAGGAAUAUAGAGGGUCAUCAUCCUUGGAUGGUUUAUCUUUGCUGUCAAUAAUAAUAUCAAGGUUUCUAUAAUCUCUGGGGAAGAAGAUGAAUUGGGGGUGGGGUGAAAAAUAAAGUUUUAAAAAUUUGGGAUUGUAGUUGGCACAUAUGAUUAAAAAAAAUAAAAAAUAAAAAAUAAAAAGUUUGGAUACUAAAAUUGUAAUUAUACCUCUUUAAUAUUGGCCUUUUUUUUUAAAAAAAAAAGGUAAUUCUGAAUGAUCUUGACGGUAGGAUUUCUUGUCAUACAAAAGUUUUCAAGUAGGGGGGGUAUUUUGCGAUUUCUAAUAGGUAUGAGGGUAUAAUGUACAUGAAAACGUUUUUAGUGAAGUUUUCUGGUAAUAAUCCUUUUUUUUUUUAAAUAUAAGUUAAUAUUUAACUUAAAAAAGUUAAAAUAAAGAUAAAUAUUUACUUAAAAUUUUAAAUCAGUAUUUUAUUACUUAUAAGUAAAUUCAAUAAUUAUAAGUUAAUUUUGUGCUUUUAAAUAAUUUUUACGCAUAAGUGAAUUUUUUAAUUAUAAGUAACAUUUUAUAUUUUAUAAAUUAAUUUUUUUCUUAUUAGUAGUAUUUUUACUUUAUAAACAAUUUUUUACACAAAAGUGAUUUUUCAAUUAUAAUGUAACUUUUUGCUUAUAAAUAACGUUCUUAGUUAAUAUAUCUUUAUUUAUAAGUUAGUUUUGUACAAAAUAUGUUGGUUGAAAAUAAUUAUUUUAUAAAUGGUAAAAUGAAAAGAAAAUAUGAAAAAAGGGUCAAAAAAUCAAAUUAAAAAUAUGCUACAUUAACUUUGGGUGGUUUUUAAGUCAUUCAAAAUCGGUGUCUAAAGAAUCUAACAAGCAUCAAUUUUUUUAAUCUCUCAUAAAUAAUGUCAUCCAAGAUAGAUUAAAAUCGGCAAAAAAGAAAAAAGUACUUUCAAGCAUGCCGGUUUAGGCUUUAGUUCCAACUUUUGACUUGACGUGGGGAAACAUCACCUUUCUACAUAUGAACAUAUUUAAUUCUUCAUUUCCCAUCACAUGUCCCAAUCCAUAAAAUUGCUGAGAUAUUUAUAGACAAGGUAGAAUUUAAUGCUAACUAAAUUUUAAAAAUUAAACAUAUUAAAAGUUAAAAACUUCAAUUCAUCGGCAAAUUCAUGUCAAGAUGAUGUUAGGAAAAAAUUACAGAGAGUUCAACAUGAUAAAUCACAUGCGAAGAUCGCUACAAGUUCGAGUGUCAAAUAUAAAGUAUAGGAAUAUAAAGCCAAAAAGCUACUGUUUGAUCAAUUAUUUAUCCUGUCUCAUCCCUUCGUUCUUCAAGAAUCAAGAUUCAUCUACAUCCACCCCAAAAGAGCGUAUACAAGAAAAAGUCAAAUCUGAUUGUCAUCUGCGGAUAGCGUUUCCAGGGGCGGGCUUCACCGUGCAACCCACCCAAAAGAGCGAAUAUUAUGCCAUCUUAGUUAUUCUAAAUAUAGUAAGUAGUAUUCGUGUAUGGUGCCUACUUCUUCUCUUUCAAGUUUUCACUCCAUUUCUAUUAGUAUUGUUGUUAACGUCAGAUUAUUGCCCAUUCCUCGUUCUCGCCUUUUUCUCGUCUUUCUUCAUUCUCUGUUAUCGUCUUAGCCUUUUGCCAUCUCUUAAUUGAGUUCAAGAUUGGAUCUUUUACAGAUCGCUCACUUGCUCAUAAUAUAAAGCAAGCAAUUGUUCAUUAAGGGGUCCAGCCAGUUGUUCCUCAUAAUAAAUUCUAUCACUGCACAGCAAGACAUACAAUCUGUUCCAGAUAAUUCAGAGAAACCAAUAUUCUCUCAGAAUCAACUUGAAACAACAAGGACCCAUACUACCGAUAUUAGUGUGGAAAAUUACAAGAAAUGGCAUCAGUGUUUUUGUACCAUGUGGUGGGGGAUCUGACGGUGGGAAAACCUGAGCUGGUUGAGUUUGCAGAGACAGAAACAGUGGAGGCCGCCAUUCGGGCCAUAGGAGAAUCCUCGGAGGGAGGAAUUCCAGUGUGGAACAAGAGAUCACAGAAGAGUGUGAUUGAGAAUGCAGAAAUGAGGCAGCAGAGAUUUGUGGGCAUCUUGAAUUCCCUUGAUAUUGUGGCAUUCUUGGCCAGAGAGGAGUGUGUGGCCGAUCAGGCUAAGGCCAUCAAGACACCAGUUUCCGAGGUUGUAAUUCACAACAAUUCUGCGCUAAAGGCGGUUGAUCCUGGCACAAGGUUCACUCUCUUACUUUAACCUGUGCUACCUUCUCAGUUUCUUGCCAGUAGCUUGAAACUUCGAAUGUUUUGGGAUUUGUGAAUAAGUUGUAUGAUUUUUCAUUUGUGAUUCUUGGUAUUAUGCAUGAAAAUUUCACAUAACCUGACUUCAGUUCUCUUUGAAACUUGGAUUUAGAGGUGUCAAAGGACCAAUGGGAGAAAUUCCAAUACGAUUAAGUUCAAAACUCUUGUCGAAUGUUUUCAGAUUAACAAGAAUGAAUGACACAAUCUCCAUAGAAAAAAUAAUGAUUGCAAAUGACGUAGAGGUGUAGAAUUUGACAACUCCAUAUAAAUGCUCAUUAACUUCACUGUUAUUUUCUCCUUAUUUACUAACCGAGGAAAAUGGAGUUUUUCAGAACCUUCACUCUUUACCAUCAUAUUUUCAAGGUUCUAAGUAAAGUCUAGAGCAUGAGAAGUAGUUAUAAUACUGCAAUAGGAUAUAAUGCAUUUGCUUAUAAACAGGGAUAUGGAACCUUAUCUUGAUCAAUUGUGAAAACGCCAUUAUAUGUUAUAAAGAUGUACUUAUGACUUGCUAUACUUGCAAAAUUAGUAGCUAUCUCUUACCAGAUGACGAAAAUAGGGGUGAAUUAGUUGAACUUUAAAUGCCAAUUCAUAAGCUAUUAUUUUAAGAGAAUUCGAUGUUUUUUGUAGCAGACAUUGUUCACUAUGGGUCAAAUCUUCUAGAAGUUGGCAAAAGGUGAUUUUAUUCCUUUUCUCUCAUUUUCUUUAUGUAUAAGUGUCGCUUUUUGUCUCUCCCACACACAAUAAGAUUCUUGUCUCAUUCACUUGUUAGGCUUCUCAUUUUCUUUAUUGUUUUGGUCAUUUGGACUGCACACAACUAAGUAGAAGUAUCCAAAUGUUGAAACGGUGAAGUGCGAGGGACAUUAGUAAUUGCAAAAACAUGACUCUAUAAGUAUAUAUUGAGUGUUAUAUAUACUUAGACAUGGCUGGACUUGACAAGUGAAUUUUAUUUUCAAAAUUUACAGAAAUUUACAUGAAAUAUUAUAAAAAUAAAUUUGGACUGUAUAUACAAUUAUAGAAGCAAUCAGUUUUGACAUUGUACCAUUGGUGGCAAAAUCUUACUUGGUUCCUGUAUUUGUUACCUCAAUGAAGUAACUAGUUAUUAUUUAGGAAGUGGAAAAUCUCUGGGGUACUAUCAUUCACUCUGUUAACUUCUAUUUGGAAAGCAUAACUUUUAUCUGGAAAAUCAAUGAAGACUCAUAAGGUUAUAAGACCUUUUGUAAAACUAAGGUUCUUGACUUUACCAACAAUCAUGUCCAACGAAAUAUAGGAUGCUCCAGAAACCCAAGAAGUGUAUGUGCAUUGUGCACCUUCCAUGGUUUAAAAAUAUCCCUUCCAGCAGUGCACCUCAGGAAGAACCUUUAUGAGGCGUACACUUCUACUGAUUGAAAUUGAAUUGGCCCUGAUUAUAAAAGAAUUAGAGAGAGCCUUCUUGAAAUUGUGUUGAUCUUCUGUAACCUACUUGUCUAGAGUUUUCUUUAUUGACUGAUGAGGGUCCCUUGCAAGUGUUUUAAGCAUUUUCUUUUCUUUUCCUUUUUUUCCCUUUCCAUUUUGUUAAUUUUGUACAUGUUCUUUCUCUCUCAGAAAAGGUGUUGCGUGAGUGCUAGAAAUAUAGUUGAUUUGAGUUUGAUGGUUUUGGCUAGGGAGUAAAAUUGCACAUACUAAUUUUAUUUAUUUAUUUAUUUUUAUAUUCAGAGAAUGUGUGUGUUGGGAUAAGGGUGCGGGGUUGGGACAAGGGAGAAAUUCUCAUAGAUUCUUUCUAUAUCUAUUCAGAUUUUAUUACAAUUUCUUUCUUUACCCCGUUCUGUUAUUUUAUUUAAACAAAUAGAUCAUACAUGGUGAAGGAUCUGUUAAAAGGUAAUUGUUGGGAAGGUGCAAUAAGGAUUUCAAAAAUGAUAUAUAUUGAUUACUGAAAGAACAGAAAACAUACAUAAAGAGCUUGCCAUCUUCUGUAAAGAAGCUGUUGCAGUGCUAUUCUAAGUAUUUCAUUCAACUUUUUUAUAUUUCUUUAAUAUGACAUAUUCCACUCUUAUUAUUGAUCGUAUUAGCUGUCACAAUGUUAGGGUAGUAAUAGCACUGACUAACUGAACUUACUAUAUUGAACUUCUUGUACUUAUUCCCUGUUCCCUACAAAGAACUAGUCUUUAGAAAUAAAAGUUCGGAAAUUAUAUACAUUUCUUCAGGGAAAUAUUGCCUCUAACAAGAUGGCUACAUUGGCAGGAGAGGUGGCUGCUUAUCUCUCUCUUUUUACUUGAAUAAUAUCUAGAGAAGGGAAAAUUAUGAAUACACGGGCAUUCUACAUGUUAGGAACAUUUGCAAGAGAAGGUGCUUGUGCGUCAUUAGUAAAAUUGCUUGAUUCACAGCCAUUCCAUUUUCUUCUAAAUAUUUGUAUAUUUUACCAUAGUUUGCAGAUGUUAAGAUUUUGAAAUGAAGGUUUUGAUCUUUUUGGAAGUCUUAUUUUAAUGUUAUUAUGUCUAUGAUGCUCUUCCAUCAACCUUUCUAAUUCUCUCUCACCCAUCUUUGAAAAUGAAGAAACAAGGCUUUAAGCCUCAAGAAGUUAACUGACUCUCUUAUCCCUUUCCUUCCAGGCUAGCAAGUGUCCUUACAAUCACAGACACAUAAAAGAAAGUAUCUUUUUAACUGGAGACGGGGAUGGGGAGUGUCUUUAAGUGCCCAUUGUUUUGUAUAACUGUACAUAUCAGUCUGUAGCACUGCAACCAGUAUGUAUAAGAAUCUGUAAUAUAGAACUUAAGUACCCAAUUAACUUUAAGAAGUCGGAAUAAUCCUUUGGAAAGCUUUAUAGUUUUCAGGCCUAAUGAUCUUUCAAACAUUAAUCUGUUUCUCCUCUGUCCUUUUACAUGUGAACUGUUCUCUUGAAUGACAUUUAUUUUACCUUUCCUUUUCAACACCGUUAUCUUCAUUUUUAUAAAGUAAAAAAUUUUGCCAAUCACUACCUUCCUUCUCUUGCUAUGGGCAGCCUGAGAUUUUUAAGGCUAUCUCUGUUUAUGCACAUGCUGAAAAUUUUAAUUGCAUUGUGAACUCCUGAUAUUUACUACUUCAAUUUAAAAAAAAAAAAAAAAAAAAUGGGAUUCCUUUGUUGUUCCAUGUGUUAAAGCUUAUGUGGGACCCAAUUAGCAUUUGUUACAUUCUCGCUUUAGUGUUCCUUAAUAGUACUUAUAAUUCUGAUAUUUGUUUCUUGUAUAAGAUUGAUAGAUGCUCUGGAGAUGAUGAAGCAAGGUGUGAAGCGACUCCUUAUUCCCAAAAGCAUAGUCUGGAGAGGCAUGAGCAAGCGCUUCUCAGUUCUAUACAAUGGAAAAUGGCUCAAGAACAUCGAGACUUCUAGUGGCAAUAACACAAACCCUAUUGCCAACACUAACCUUCCAUCGUCAUCAUCUUCCACCGACAUCAUUCAGGACAAGUUUUGUUGUCUGUCAAGAGAAGAUGUUCUACGUUUCAUCAUUGGUUGCCUUGGUGCCUUGGCUCCUUUACCACUUUCCUCAAUUGCUUCCCUUGGAAUCAUCAAUCCAAACUACUGCUCUAUUGAAGCAUCUUUCCCAGCCAUUGAUGCCACCAAAAAUCGUCCCCAUGAUCCAUGUGCAGUUGCUGUUGUGGAGCCAACGUCAGAUGGUCAAUAUAACAUCAUCGGUGAAAUAUCUGCCUCUAAACUAUGGAAAUGUGAUUACUUAGCUGCAUCAUGGGCACUUGCUAAUCUCUCUGCUGGACAGUUUGUUAUGGGGGUUGAAGAUAACCUGACAUCAAGAUCACUUCCUGAUAUUGCGCUUAAUCAAAUGGUCGGGGAAUCGAAUUUAGGUAAUGGAGGAAUCCCAGCCAGGCAAAAAAAAUUCAGCAGCAGAAGUAUUGGGUUCUUUAGCAAUGCCGCAAAUUCAAGUUUUGGGGUUGGUAGGAGCAUGUAUCGGGGUAGAAGUGCACCAUUAACGUGUAAAGUUACUAGUUCGCUGGCUGCAGUAAUGGCUCAAAUAUUAUCUCACCGGGCAACACAUGUUUGGGUUACAGAGGCUGAAAACGAUGACAUAUUAGUUGGUGUCGUAGGUUAUGCUGAUAUCUUGGCUGCAGUUACCAGACAACCGGUUCCAGCCGUUUCGGAAAGCCAGCCAUCUUGAGUUUUUGCCAGCCCAUAUUUCUGCAAGAAUUUUGGGAUAGUUGUGCUUGUUUAUGCAUUGCAUUGAUUUGUCUUGGUAAUGUUACAACUUAAACAGAAGUUUAAUGUUGUGUAAGUUGAAGUGAUUCUGAGAAUGACAUAUACCUAAAACAUAUUAGCCUGCGUCUGGGGUUUUCAGUCAGUCUUUAGUUAAAAAUUGUAUGGCCAAACUUUAAACAAACUUUGGGGAUGAGAGAUGCAAUUAUGUCUUUCCCCGUUGAACUUACAAAAGGUGCAUUUGUGUUGUAAAUAUUAUUCUUUUGGGAAUAAUAUAGGGUGUAUUUACAAUUUAUAUAUUAAACAAUAAAAG